RNAcentral lists this transfer RNA (66 nucleotides) under Protagonista lugubris. RNAcentral's name for it is "tRNA-Asn". The record is from RNAcentral. Lineage: Eukaryota; Metazoa; Arthropoda; Insecta; Blattodea; Blattidae.
UUAACUGAAACCAAAAAGAGGUAUAUUACUGUUAAUAAUAAAAUUGAAUUAUAGAUUCCAGUUAAG